UUUAUUUGUUACCAUGUGCAGCAUGAUCAAAAGCAUUUAUUGAUGGCUCAUCUUUUUGACAAACCCUGUUUCCUAGGAAUCCUUGCAUUAAAGAUGGAUGAUAUAGCUCGGUUUCAUACCAAUACUCAUAUUCCACAUGUUAUUGGAGCUCAAAUGCGGUACGAAGUUACUGGUGAUCCACUUUAGAGGGUAAAUUGCUAUAAUUCAUUUCAAUAUCUGUCCUCAAAGCAUAAUAACUCAAUGAAGCAUUUUCUUGAUUUCAGUUUUUAGUGUCAAGUAUUAUUACGGUCUUUUUUUUUUUUUUUUUUUUUUUUUUUUUUUGAUAUUGAGAAUAGGAACUUUCUGGUUUACUACUUUGUCGAAAAAUCUUGAGGGCAAGCAACUUUUUUUUUUCCUCCACUUUUUCUUCUUCAGCCUCUCUCUCUCUCUUUUUCUUUUUUCUUUUUUUCUUUUUUUAUUUUUUAUUUUUUUUACAAGUAGGGAAAAACUAUUGAAGAUAAAUGACUGGAGCACAGCUACUCGUCCCUCAACAAAGUAAUGGUCCUAAUAAUCAUGGAGGUAAAAUGACCUCGAAAGAAGUCAAGAGGGAGAGCCGCAUAUGAAUUCAGUCCUUAUUCGGCUUUUGAAUGGAUUGAGUUUUGUUAUGAAUCCAGUCCUUCAAUUCAAAUUUGGUUAAAAAGUGUAUUCUCUUUAUCAUGGUGAUGAACCAAAAUCAGUCCAUUUGUUAACCAACGGGUCAACCUUGGUUUUUUAGUGAUCUGAUCCAAUUAUAAUAAAUCAGAAUUAAUUAGUAUACAAAUUUUUUAGAUUAAAGUAUUUAUGCAUAGCAUAUAUAUAAUGCUUAAAAGAUAUAUAAAUAUAUUUCAUUUUAUUAAGAAUCUAAUAUGAAAAAUUAUUUAUUUGAUUUGUGCUUAAUUCUAUUUACACAAUUUGAGGGCAAGCCUUGGCGCAACAGUAAGAUUGUUCCACUGAGAAAACAAGGAAACAACUUCUACGUAUGCGCAGUUAAGGUUGCAUACAUCUUAUCUGACUCUCCUCACUGUGACAUGAAGGUCACAAAUUGCGGACAUCUCGUGCACUGGAUUUGCCCUUUAAUCUCUAUUAUCAAAUUCGCAUAAAACCAAUAGGCUUCAGGGUUAAACCUGUUGCAACACAUUUAAAUUGCCUCACUUGGGCCUUUCAAGAGAUACACAAUUUCGUCUUUGACAGCAUCAUCUGUUCAUUGUGGUUUGUGGAGUAGAAAACUGCAGUUCCUAAAUAUUCCUCCAUUUCUAAUUGAGAUGCUUUUCAGAGGGAGCAACCAUGGAAAUUAAUUUUAAUUUUGCCCCUUUAGGACAUGGCUACUUUCUUCAUGGAGAUUCUUGACUCUUCUCACACCUAUGCAACUGGAGGGACAUCAGUUGACGAGUUCUGGGCGGACCCAAUGCGACUGGGAGACACUCUGGGACGAGAAAAUGAAGAAUCAUGUGCAACUCAUAACAUGCUGAAGCAUCAAAUGGCAUAUGAUUUUGUAAGUGUCACGCAACCUGUUUAGAUGGACCAAAGAAAUCGCAUAUGCAGAUUAUUAUGAGCGAGCCCUAACCAAUGGUGUGCUGGUUGUCCUGCGGGCAGGGCUUCCUGGACAAUUUAUCUACAGGCUACCCCUAUGCAGUGGAUGUUCCAAGACUGUUAGUCACUAUGGAUGGGGAACAAAGUUCGAUUCUUUUUGGUGCUGCUAUGGGACAGGUAUGGGCUUGAAACUUCAUAAAUUAAGAAAGGCAAAUCCAGUGUACGAGACUCCUGUCAUUGCGAGGUCUUGGGGAGGUUAGAAGUACGCAGCAUUACCACAUGUGAAGAGACUGUUUCCUUGAAACCUCAUAAAUAUAAACCAUAUUUUAUUCUAAAGUAAAAUCUUUUUGCUUCUAAAUAAGCGACUUAAAAAUCUUCAAACAAUUUUUUUAAUUGCAUCUUACAACCUUAGAUUCCUAGAUCUUAUGAUUUUCAUUCUUAAUCCCUUAUGACGGGGAGAAUUUGGUUGUUUACUUGUGGUUUUGUGUCACGAUUUAGUUAAUGUGCUCAUUUUAAAUAAACCAAAAAUAGAUGCAAACUGUCAAUGUGUAUUAUAGCAUAGUGGGAUACAAGGAAAAGUACUGUAUGAAAAAGUAUGAAAUCUAAACCAUCUGAUCUCUUGUGGCUAAAAACAAGAGUAAAGAUAAAGCUGGAUACAAGAAGCUGACAACAUCGAAAAGAAAUGAAUUAUUUUUGGAGAAAGAAUUAAUAUUCAAAAAUUAUUAGCGAAGAGGAAAUAUAAGUAGGGACUGGAAAUUUUUCAGUAGGUUAAUAAAAUAUGUUUUGGUUGUUAGAUACUGGAACCUUAAAUUCUUUCUAACCCAAGUGAUCAUAAGGUUCAAGUUUCUUCUCUAUGUCUUCUGCAACCAAACAGAGCGUUAUGUAUAAGACCUAUUAAAUUAAUUUUAUUUAUCUUUGUUCAAGUGCUUGUCAGUUUCAGGUUCCAACAAAAUUUUACAAAUUCUUUUCCCAUGCUUAAUUUUUGG
This is an RNA transcript of Cornus florida, 2534 nucleotides long. RefSeq lists it as uncharacterized. The transcript has 5 exons. Lineage: Eukaryota; Viridiplantae; Streptophyta; Magnoliopsida; Cornales; Cornaceae. The record is from RefSeq and is a predicted model, not a curated record.